CGUAGCUAGCAUUAAGCGCCCCGCCUGGGGAGUACGGCCGCAAGGCUAAAACUCAAAGGAAUUGACGGGGGCCCGCACAAGCGGCGGAGCAUGUGGAUUAAUUGAUGCAACGCGAAGAACCUUACCUGGGUUUGACAUAUACCGGAAACACCUAGAGAUAGGUGCCCCCUUGUGGUCGGUAUACAGGGGGCAUGGCUGUCGUCAGCUCGUGUCUGAGAUGUUGGGUUAAGUCCCGCAACGAGCGCAACCCUUGUCCUGUGUUGCCAGCGCGUAAUGGCGGGGACUCGCAGGAGACUGCCGGGGUCAACUCGGAGGAAGGUGGGGAUGACGUCAAGUCAUCAUGCCCCUUAUGUCCAGGGCUUCACACAUGCUACAAUGGCCGGUACAGAGGGCUUGCGAUACCGUGAGGUGGAGGAAUCCC
Molecule: ribosomal RNA, 421 nt
Filed under: Rhodococcus canchipurensis
Lineage: Bacteria; Bacillati; Actinomycetota; Actinomycetes; Mycobacteriales; Nocardiaceae
Description: bacterial SSU rRNA
Rfam family: Bacterial small subunit ribosomal RNA
Source: RNAcentral